RNAcentral lists this long non-coding RNA (3175 nucleotides) under Homo sapiens (human). RNAcentral describes it as "HSALNT0090177". Lineage: Eukaryota; Metazoa; Chordata; Mammalia; Primates; Hominidae. The record is from RNAcentral.
AUUUUCCUCUUCUUAGUCUUUGUCAUCAAUAUCAUCAUUAUACAUGUCAUCACAGUGCAAAUUUAAGCUAUUUUUAUUGAAAGGGCUUUAGUUUUUAUUUAGGACUCCACCAGGGUUGUAGAGGGCUUUCAUUCCAUACUUUUAUAUUUCAGCCUCAGUGACUAAACCUAUUUCCUAAUGAUUUCAGCAUAAUCUUUUCUUUUAUUGUCCUUCCAAUCAUAAAAGAACAUGUUUCAAAAAAAGAAAAAAUGCUACAUGCAUUGCCCCUUUUGGUAUAGGGUUUUCUCUCCUUUAUAAUAAUAGAGUGAUCCUGCAAAUCCAGUUCAGAAUUGUAAUGAAUUAUUGAAUCCAUAAGAAUAGACUACUGACAUUGAUGUAGACUUUAGGGGAAAACAUCUGGCAGGCAGAAGUUCUACAAUACAUUGCAAAGGAUCUUAGCCAAAAAGAAAAGUUAAAGGGAAGUACCUGCAAGGAGGGCAACAGUCCAUACUGAAGGUGGAACACAUGCAAUAGCAAAAACAGUCCAUGAUCUUUUGAUUUCUCCUGGGCCUCUUUGUGCAGUAGCUUGGAAAGGAGCCUUUACCCAGGUCCAAGGUGCCUCCUCUUCUUGGUUUAGUGAUCUCAGUUCUGGGAAGCUGGGCUGCUCCAGAGAGUCUGCUGAAAGUGUGCAGAUGAGAAGAAUAGGCUCUGAAAGGGCUUUCUGGCCCUCAAUAAACAGGAUACUCGGCCCUACCUCCUGCAGUGCCAAGCUCUUCUAAGGCAGCUUAAUGGGCCCUAGAUAGUGCAACCAUCAGAGCUGGUGGGCCAGAAACAUGACCACCUGCCCUCCUGAAGAAGAUUCAUGGGAAUCUUUCCAUGACAGGCUGAGGAAGACAUCCCACCCUUGACUCAUACCAAGGCUUCUCUAGUGAACCAGUCAGAAACAACUAUAUUGUUAAGGCCUGUGUAGAAGACAGAUAUAAGACAAAGUGAAACUGCAACGAAUAGGAUAAUAAUUCUAAAUUUGAAUAUAAUAAUAAUAAAUGAAAGAUAAAAAUCCUAAAUUUGAUUAUAAGUCAUCACUUCUAGUUACCCCCGGAAUUGAGUGCUAGAGAGAAAUAAUGGCCUCAGUCAAUUAGAAAAACCCAAGAGGCCUCGAUCCAUUAGUAAACACAGGCUGCCAUUUUGAAAUGAGUGAACUCACCAUGGACCACUCAUCCACUUCCCACCAACAGCCAAGCUGACAUGGAAUCGAACCAUCCAGGGUGCUAACCACAUGUGUGGGCAGUAUGCGUACACAUGGUAGGCAGCUUGGUCCAACACACACCUGAAGGAACAUGACAAGACUCCAACUCAGAUGCACCUUUUAGCUCCCAGUCUCAGCAACUGCCAUGGCCAGCAAUGAUUCCCAGGGCAGGGAGACUCUAAAGCCAGAAAAAUCAGAGAGGCCAGACAUUAUCUCCGUUUCAAGAGUAGCAUGUGAUCAACCAAGAAGCAGGUUGUGAGCAGACUCCCUCCUACUAUUGAAGGUCCUUCCCCCAGCUAUCUGAGAAACGGCCAUGAAGGGGGGACUUAAAUACUCUAUGCUUGCUCCCCGGAGCUGCCCAUGUGGGGGUGUGGAACUCGGACUCUGACAUCCUAGGCCAAGAGGCAAUGGUGACUCCCAGCCCUGGCUUCAACAGGCUCUGUAUUAUAGACGUGUUGGAAAUCAAGGCAGAGGUGCGAGAAGAAAGGAACUGAAACGAUCUUGCGACUGGGCCGAGGUCCUUACUUAUGUUUAUGUUUUGGAUGUGGGAGGAGACAUAGAGUAGAGAAGGGAGGGACAAAGCUGAUGAGACAGGGUGGAAAUGCAGUUGACAUUUCUUCACUCCCCAGCAAGAGGAGAUUGGCUCUGUAGUUAGCUCUCCUUCCCCAAGUAAACAGUCAACACAUUCCGACAGCCUGGGUCUGUACUUUCCUGAGUAUAACAACCCCAUUCCACACACAACACUGUUAGCCCGCUGAGUCUCCUGAGUCCUCAGGAACACGGUGGUACUCCCAGAAUGUGAAAACUGUUGUAAACUCCCACUCAUAUGUUAAGGAAAUAUUUCCAAAUAUUAAGGAAAUGUUUGUCUCCCUGACCUGAUUCCAUGCUAAUCCGAACAGACUUCCUAAUCCUGAUGCUCUUUGGUGUCACUUCCUGCCCACUGUGCCGCGUCCAUUAGACCGUGAGGUUGCUGAGGGCAGAAGCUGCACCUUGCUGCUGCUGGGUCCCCAGGGUGUCGUUCAGGGCCAGGCCUACGCCAUAGUUCAUUAAAUAUUUCUAGAAAGGAAAAGAGGCAUGAAAUGACCGACUUGUGCACAUUUGCCUGAGGCAUCUCUGGUUUUAGCAUUGAAUGUCCUGUGUCCUGGGAAACCCCUCAGACUUGGCAACCUGAGACAAUUGGUCACCUUGGCUGGAAGGAGGGAGGGAAGAGUGAAGUACAUUAGUCCAAGCCCACCUGGGGCAGAACCCUGCAUGCUCUGACUUGCUGGCAUAAGGAAUGGGCGGCUGAGUAGCAGGUGAGCUCAUGGGGUCCCUAAGGAGAUGCGGUGAGCCCAUCCCUUUAAAGAAGCAGAGGGACCAUGAGCCAGACUUUCAUCCCAUCAUCACUGAGUCCUGAAAAUAGAAUUAUUAUAUUCAUUUGGGAAACAUCUGUUGUGAACCUACCCUUUGUCGGGUUCUGUGCCAGAUCCUGAGAGUACGGAAGAAGCAAGAACAGGUCUUCCUUCCAGGAGUGCAGAGGAAGCGGGGCGUGCUGGGGAAGUGUCCCGUGGGCUUCCUGUGUCUUCCCUCCACUAUGCAACUGGUCUUCCUGUCCAGACUUCUGCCCUUUGAGAUGCCGUAAGAUCUCAUAGUCCCCAUCUGUAACAGAGAUAAGAAAGUGAAGUCACAUUUUGUGGAAAGCUUUUCUAAAUUAAGGGGUUAAGACAAAAAAGAUUUUGGCUUCAUUCACAGUUAACUAGAAACUUCCAUUAACCAUAAUGACCCAUUCCCCAAGCUGGCUGGCUAAUGGAGGUCCUGCUGCAUUCGUCUUUUUGUUUUGCUUCCUUCCUUUCCUUUGCUCCCAGGCUCUCUAUCAACUGUGGGUUCCUGUGCUCCUGUCUCUGCAGCAGCCUUUUCUUCUCUCCUCUUCCACCCUCUCAGUUGUCAGUGCUUGACUCAGCCGGGGCUGUG